This is a long non-coding RNA of Oreochromis niloticus (Nile tilapia), 9094 nucleotides long. RefSeq lists it as uncharacterized. Lineage: Eukaryota; Metazoa; Chordata; Actinopteri; Cichliformes; Cichlidae. The transcript is spliced from 4 exons. The record is from RefSeq and is a predicted model, not a curated record.
AAGCUCAGAUGGGGACACAAACUGUGGUUUUCUGGAUGACACAGCUGUAAACCCAGACGGUGUUGGAGAUCCUCUGAAACAAAGACGUGUAAGUUUGUCUUUACGUCGAGACAGCAGGAAAUCACACCAAGAGACAGUUCUACAUCUUCAGAAAUACAAGCAAAGGAGUGCGGAGUCGGGAAAUGGGAAUUCAACAAAACUGAACCAGUCGUCAUUUCAAAGCAAAUAAACAAACACCAAACCAUCACAAAUGGGUAAUCAAUUACCAAAGGAGAGUAACAUGGGAAGCCGCCUGAGAUGCUGCAAAUGUUUUAAAGUCUUGCCUCCAUGCAAAUCAUUUGAAGACUUAUACCAAAGUACUAUUUAUGGGCGACACAUGCAUGUGUUCAAUGGAGGUGAAUACUACAGACCAGUUGGUGACAAUGAAUUGUAUGAAUGUGAAUAUUGCUUUAACAAGCCAAUCAGAGAUCAAGAGGAAAUGACAAGAGAAGAGGAGAGGAAGAGAAGAGAGGAGCAGAGGAGAAGAGAAGAGGAAAGGAAGAGAAGGGAGGAGGAGAGGAGAAGAGAAGAGGAGAGAAGAAGAGAGGAGGAGAAGAGAAGAGAAGAGGAAAGGAAGAGAAUAGAGGAGGAGAAGAGAAGAGAAGAGGAGCAACAGAAAGAAAAACUGAAUCAAAGACUAAAAGAAUCUCACCAACAAGCUAAAGAGCAGCUUGAGAAACAACAGAGUGGCCACAUCUCAGAUGAAUGUGAGUCUAAGCGAGAUGUUCUAAUAGAGCAUCUGGAUGAGUUUGAAGCUAUCUAUGAAUCAGGUAGUGACAGCGAUGAGCUUCUUGAAAUCCUCUCAGUGAAAUGCAGUCUUCCACAUUCAAAUAUCAGUCUGAGUCAGCUCACAGCUGAUCAGCUCAGUGAGAUCCUUUCAGUCCUGGACAAACUUCUGUUUGAUGAGUGGAUUCGUGCUGCUCCAUCCAUCAGCACUCUGCAGCACACUCAGGUGUUCAUCACAGAGCUCUGUGCUCUGUGUCUGGAAAUAUCUGAAGGAGUUUCCCUACAAACCAUCUGCAAUCAUAUGCAGUCCUAUUUGGGAUCCAUCAGCCAAUCAGCAUGUGGUGUUUUUGAGAGUUUCCUCUUGACUCAAGCCCUGUAUCUGAACCUGAUGCACUUUUUCCGUGACGAUAGCAGAUUUAAUAAUGAUGCUGUCCUCAUAGCCAAACAAUGGGCAGAAUAUGAGAUUUCCACUGAGAACCUCUUUAUAAUUGAAUUCCUGAGCACCCUCACAUCAUCACUGCAAAGUGCAGUUGGAAGAGCCUCUGUGUUCACUUUAAAGAUGGAAAUCCAAUGUUUAAAGCUUCUCUUAUCCACACUCACAGAUCUAAAUGGAAAAGAAGCCCACUCAGAAUCCACUGAAAUGCUCCUCAAACUUGUACAAAGAAACCAAUGGACUCCAAUGGAAGCAGUCACACUGCUUAAAGCACUGUCACAGAAAUAUGCAGAUGAUGAUUCCAUAACUGAAAUCCUUACCUUGGUACAAGUGUAUGACAUACCACCAGACUGGAUAGAUGACUGUGGGCGCUCUCUAAUCCAGCUCCUUGAAUCUGCUGCUCCUGAGAGAUUUUGUCAGGAUUUCCAAAAGACUCUAAGAGGAAACGAUGAGAGCAGUGUAACUGCAGUUUUAGCAGAAGUAAAGAUGUUGUGGAAUUUGAAUGACUCUGCCAUUGAUAUGAUAAAAAACAUUAACACUGGUGUCCUGAAAUAUACAGAAAAUGUACCAAAAGAGGAACUUUUUAUGAAAGAUUCAUUUAAAUGUGAAUCUUUGAAUUCAGACAACAAACAGAAGUGUCUGUGUCAGCUCUGCAAAGCAGUGUUCAACAUAAAAGGCUGGUGGCCCACAGUGAGGCAGGUGGUGCGGUGGUGUGGACUGGUGCUGACUCAGAAAAGUGGAGUGGUACAACUGGUUGGUGUGGAAGAAGACCCAUGUGUUACAGCCAUGUUUGCAGCCAUGCAAGUCUGCAUGGGAAACAAACUGGACAUUGUGCUGAGCUCUGAUGUUCACUCAGAGGAGCAAACAAAGGAGUGGUCUGACUUCUACAAGCACCUUGACAUUUCACUCAACACAAACAUGAAGAAGACUGAUCCAUCAUUCCAGGAUGUCUAUGAAGCUGACAUUGUUUAUGGUACAAUGGAUGAUUUUGUGUCUGAUUACUUUAGACAAGGCAUAGAGACGAUGGAAACAGGGAACCCACAGUUAAAUCGUGGAUUCAUCAUUGAAAAACAAAGUCUCAGUGCUUUGCAUGCUCUGGAACUUUCAAGACUCAAAGACGAUGACUCCCUGGUGUUUGCUGCAGAGGUCCUGCAGAACCUCAUGAGUAAAUUUCACAGUGAAGAUGUGGAACUGAGACAUAUGUUUAUUAAGGCCCUUUUUCAGGUCCUCCAUUGUAACCUAAAAGAAGAUACAAUUACUGACACAAAAAUCAUCACCAUCUCAAAGAAAAUCACAGGGAAGGAAUUGCUUUCUAAUGAGAUCUUUAUUUUGACAUUUCUUGAAAAUCUCUUGCAAGUGUUUGCUAGAGAAACAGAAGCUGUUAAAAACAUGACAGAUCCUGCGGGCAAAUGGUGUUUAGAGAGCUUAUUUGCCUGUGUGGAACAAUUCCAAGACUUAGACAAAGAAACCAAAGAAGUCUUCAAGAUGGUUUCAAAUCUUGGAAAAAAAGCACUUUGGUCACCAGUAGAGGCCUUAAACCUUCUUGGUGCAUUAACUCACAACCACCAUGACAGCGGCUGUAUUUCCAUCUUGAAGAUUUUACAUUUGAUGGAAACAUACCAGGUUUCCUCCAAUUGGACAGAUGAAAACAAUAAAUCUCUCAUUGAGCUCAUACAUUCAUGCACAACUCAGAUUCUGAUCCAGCAUCUAGAAAAGAGCCUCAGAGGUGAGAAAACUAAAAGGAUUGACAACCUUUUUUAUGAAAUACGGCAGAUGAAAGAAAUUGUUGAGCAAACACUGAGUAAAUCAUACAACAUAGUAACUCAUGUAACAAACCUAAUCAAAACUGGUGAAAUUAAAAAACACACAGACAUAGAGCGAGCUAGGACUCUGAGUCACAGCAUGGAGGUUGGGGAUUUACAGGAGAUCCUUGCAGUCUUAUGCAAUGCUGUACACCUCCACAAAGCAGAAAGGAAGUGGUUUCCCAGGACAACUCAGAUGAUAAGCUGGUGCCUGUUGGCCCUGUCUGACACUGGGAAGCUCCUGGAGAUGGGAACUGGAGAAGGGAAGUCUUGUGUCAUAGCGAUGUUUGCAGUGCUGCGUGUGCUUAGAGGUGAAAAGGUGGAUGUAGUGUCCAGCUCCUCUGUGUUAUGUCAAAGAGAUGCUGAAGAAUGGGCCAAAUUUUACAAAUACUUUGGCAUUACAGUCGACACAAACACAAAUAAAAAUGAGGAUAAAGAUCGGAAAGAAUGCUAUCAGAAGGACGUGGUCUAUGGAACCAUUGAAGCCUUUGCUGCUGAUCACCUUCGCCAAAUAUUUGAGAUGAAGGAUGUGAGGGCUGAUCGUAACUUUCAGUGCAUCAUUAUCGAUGAAGUGGACUCACUGCUGCUAGAUCAAGGAGUGCAGCUGACAUACCUGUCCAGCCCCAUGGUGUCCAUGCAGCACCUGAACAUUAUUCCCACCAUGAUCUGGAGCCACGUCAGUCAGUAUGGCUUCCUAUCUACAGGACACCAGACAUUUGUACGAGGUCCUCCUGCUUCAUUCUUCAAGGCUAUCUAUGACUCAAUGAACACAGAAGACACUGAAAUUAAUGAUCCAAUGGACAUUUUAAGUAUUGCUGAAGAAUCCAACAUUGUGUCAAAAGGAUUUACAGAAGAUAUCUCCAAGAGUGAAAAGGAUGAACUUCUCAGUAAACUGAAAACAGUGAGUCAGGAUGCUAUGGUUGACUUUUUCAAAGAAAUUGAGGACUAUGUUCCUUACGGCUUUACUGUUUACACACUAGAUGACAAAGGACUGCUCUGUCUUCAAAAGUGCAGUCCAUACAAUGACCGGGACAUCCCAGAGCUUUCAUUUCUUGUCUUGGAGGAAGGAUUGUGUUGUCCUCUCUAUGAGUCAGAAGAAGUUCUCAUCAAGCCCAUUGCAGAAUUGAUCUCUGAGAGGAUUCAGUACACCCCAUGUGAAAACAAUAAAGAUAAAAUCAGCAUUCCUGGAUUCUUGAAGACUCUGGUGGAGAAGAAAGUCUCAGUGUGGGUUCAGAAUGCCUUUCUGGCAAUGUUACUGAAACAAGGACGAGAAUAUGUUGUAGAAAAUGACAACGUCUGUCCAGUGGACUUCAGAUCCACUGGUAUUGUUGAACUGAAUAAGAAAUGGGGUGAUGGUCUGCAGCAGUUUGUGGAGAUUAAACACCAAGUCAAACUGAGCACAAUUUCAACAGUGACAAACUACAUUUCCAACAUCUCCUUUUUUGAGAAAUACCAGGGAAAAAUAUACGGAACAACAGGAACACUGGGGAGCAAAGCAGACAUUCAGUUUUUGCAGGAUCUAUAUCCAAAUCUCUCUGUGUGCAAAAUACCAACAUUCAACAGAAAGAAGUUAUUUGAGGUCAAAGGUACUCUGAAAAAAACAGCUGAAGAAUGGAAAUCUGAAAUAAAACAUGUGGUCACGGCUCAGAUUUCCCCAAAUUCAUACAGAGAAGGAAGAGCAGCGUUGGUGAUCUGUGAAACUAUCAAUACAGCCAAAGAGAUCUGCGAAGAGCUGAAGAGCAGCAUCCCAAGUAAAAAAGUGAUUCUCUACUGCCGCAGUGACAGAGACAGUUUGAGUAAAAUAGACAAGGAGCUGCUUCCUGGUGAUGUCAUUGUUGCCACAAACCUUGCCGGCCGUGGCACGGACAUUAAAGUGUCCAGAGAGGUGAACAAUAAUGGAGGAUUAUUUGUGAUCCUCUCCUUCCUUUCUGAAAAUACGAGGGUGGAACUCCAGGCAUUUGGACGAACUGCACGCAAAGGUAAACCUGGAUCUGCUCAGAUAAUCAUCUCCACUGAACACCUGCAGCCAUCUUUCCACACAGUGUCCUCUCUGGAGGAAGCCAAGAGCACAAGGGACCGACUUGCAGCAGAAAAGAUAAGUCACAUGAUGAACGAUGUUGCUGAGAUGAAACUGCGGGAGGACCUGUUUUCAGAAUACUGUGAAACACUUCAACAUAUUUAUAACACCACUGAUGGAGACGAGGAAAGAGCUGUUGUUGACAUGAUGAAUGAGUUUUGGGGGAUUUGGCUCCAAACUAAAUCAGAGGAAAUUGAUCAGUUGAAGAGAAAUGAACUGCAAGAGAGUCUGAAAGCUGAUUUGUCAAAGGCAAAAAGUCAGUCUGAAAGUAAGACUUCACCAUGUUCCAGCAUUUAUCACUACAUCAAGUUUGGAAAUAUUGCACUGGAUGAAAAACAGUGGGAUGCUGCAGCCAUAAUGUUUGAAAAAGCCAUGAAACAAGAUAAAAGCUGGGCAGCUGUAGCUUUUUACAAUCAUGCAUACUGCACUAUACAACAAAAGAAAGCAGAUUACCUCACUAAGGCCAUAGAUGAUCUAAUGAAGGCACAGGAAUCUCUGAAGUUUCUCAAUGAGGAACUAAUAGUCUGUCUUCAGUUUGUAAAAAUGUCCUCUGCAGACUCAGCCAACAGCAACCCAACCAGCCUGGAAAAACAGUUAUCAACCAGGUCUACAAUGUAUAGUUACUUUGAUAAAAACAUUACUGAGGCCAUCCAAAAGUUAGAAGAAAUAAGAGAGAAAGGCAGGAAUCCAAUUACCCAAAAAUCUCCCAUGUUCUCACUAUUUUCAGAUACUGAUGAAGAUCUCCAAGAUGAAGCUUACAAUCUCUACAGACGAGGUCUGAAAUAUGUGUUUUCUGUGAAAGAAAAGCCUCGUUUCUCAUGGGAAGGUCUUCUGGUGUUCUUUCUUGGCGUUUUAAAGAUUGUUGGAGGAGCACUGCUCACUGUAUUUACAUUUGGCACAUUUGCUCUAGUUGGAAUGGGACUCAUUACUGAGGGAAUAUCAGACUGCAUCACUGGCAUUGAGGCCAUGAGGACAGGAGAAUUCAGCUGGAAGUCAUGGGCUAUAGACAAAGCCAUUUCUAUUGGUGUCUCUCUCAUUGGGUUCGGAGUUGGAAAGCUGAUAUCAAAGGGCUUCAAAUGUUUUAAAACCUUACUUAAAUUUGGCAAACAGCUUAAGUCAAUGCCAAAAUUUCUCUCUAGACAAGCUAAAGAUGGCCUCAGUGUUGUUUUAAAGGCAAAUAUGAAGAAUGCCGUAAAAUACACAGCUAAACAAAUUGCAGAAGAACUCAUCACCUUUGGACUGGGAAAGAUAGAAGAUAAAAUACUUGAAAAAAUAUUAGAAGGAAUCAAAAGCAUAGUGAAAGAGACAACUGAUCACGAAGUGAAAUUAAAAAUAGAAAAAGAGCCUCCAUCUUCAUUAGUAGACUUCAUUAUUCUUUCACAACUUGAGGACAAAAAACAACUUCAUGACCUAAACAACGAGAGAAGAAAGAAAAAGCUGCUGGCCGUUUUCACAGAGUUAAGCAAAACUGCAAUACAGCCAUUCUAUGCAGACCUCAGCUGGCAGAACAAACUGAAUUCAUCCCUCUUCACAGUGAUUGAAAAAGCUAAAUCACACACUGGAGGAAAAGCAAAAGCAAUUCUGAUAGGUAUACAAAGUGUCCACAUUGGCACACUGGCAGGAGAAGCCAUCAGUGCAGUGGACAGCCUGUCAGACAAGUUCUUUUCAAAUUUUCAUGAACAGCUGAAAAUAUUUAAAGAAAAGCAACAAAAAUCAGAGACUGUGAAUAUAAGUGAUCUGUCUGCAGAAGACAUUAAACUGUUGAAAGAUUUCAAGCAGGAUUUAGCCGGCACCAUCAGUACUUUAUUGGCUGAUGCUUUGGUAGAAGUUUUCCACCAAAAGGUCUCCAGUCACAUUUUUUCUAUUGUUAAAGGCCAGGCAAAUGGUGUUAUUGGUAAAUAUGUGAGAAAGGGUUUAAAGAGUGACAGAACAGAGGAAAAGCUCAGAGCUGGACAGAACAACAGAUACAUUGCAUACAUGCCAAGAAAACUGAAUUCUAAACACAAAGUUGAAGGAGAGGCAGGUCAACACUCACAAUCACAUGCUGAAAACAUCAAGAACUCCACGACUGCAGGCAACAUCCUUGAUAUCAGAGUCCUGUCAGAAGCCACUGGCACUAAAGUUGUCAUCCUAACAGAGGACAGCAAUGGAAGACUUACCAAAAUGCAGGAGCUGAGCCCAGACACUCGACAUGCCAAUCAAACUGUGACCCUGAUCUACAGACCAAAGAGUGACCAAUACCCCAAUAGCCAUUAUGAUGUGCACAUCAAUAACCAGACAGUGAGCAUAGACAACAAAGGCAAGAGCUGUCUGUUUUAUGCUUUGGCACGUGGAAUGAAACCACAAGCCAGCAAAGAAGAGAUCACUUUGGAAGCAAAUCGUCUUCGAUCUGUGGAGGCCGAUACUCUCCUCAGACACCCAGGCCAAUGGGAGCCUUUCAUCAAGCGGAAAGAAUUAACUGAAACAAUCAGGGGAGGGGACUGGUACAUGUUAGAGGGAGCUGGAGCCAGAAAAGUCAUAAAAGAAAGCAAAAAGUUACGCCAGGAAGAAGUUGGAAAAGUAAAAAAAUACAAAGAUUGGCAAACAUAUGCAAAAGAAAAUAAAGGAAUUGGAAAGUUCAUCAAUGCAGAUCACCAGCCACCAGUCAGUAGUAUAUUGAAGGCCCAUGAACAGAACCAGAAUAGCAGAUUAGCAAAGGCCAUGCUUGAACUGGCAACAAACUCAUCUACUGGGAACAUUUCUGAUGUGCACAAAUAUCAUGGCCGUGAACUUCCAACAGUUUAUGUGCCUGCAGAAGUACAUCGUGAAUUUCCCAGUACAAAAUCACCAGCCUUCAGAGACCUUUUGACUAAAACCAUAAGUAAUGAUGAUGUUGUGGGUACUUUCAAGCUGACGAUCCUUGGUUCAAUGCCAAGAUUCUGGUUGGAUAGUAGCAGGAACUUCAAAAACUUUCAGAAUACAAAUAUAAGCAAAAGCAGACUUAAAGAUUUUGAAAACAGUUUUCCACACCACAGUGAAAAGAUGGUAAAUAAAUGGUGUGACCAGCUUAAAAACAAAGGUGUUAUGACAGAUGACCAUCUAACUACUAUUAAUAAUUGGAUCGCUAACCAGGGCUACAAAGAUCAAAAUGAUCCACACAGGAAAGAAGUUGCCAACCUCCUCUGAUGAAAAGUUUGCAAGAGAAGAGAAUGUGACUCUUACAAGCAAAUGAAGUACAGUGAAAACCUGGAGAUCUUCCACCUGCCUAAUCAUCAUUAUCAGAUAUCUCUGUGCCUUUGGUUUAAUUUUAACUUAAUUUUUGUACUUAUCACAGAAAAAAAAAGAAAGUCCUAACUGCUUGUUGAGCCAUUAUAGCUUAAUGUAGAUUGCAAACUUAGGACAGGUUUUGUGUUUUGUUUUGUUUUUUAUUUUGUUUUUUGUUGCGCACAAAGAGCUUACUAAAAUGAUGCAACAAAGUAUUUCUUGUAGUACAUUACUAAUCACUCUGAAAGGCUUCUAAAUCAUCCACAAAGUACCUGAGUGCCCUCCAGUGUUCAAGAGACAAACUACACAUGUGUCAUAUUAAGAUUUAGCAACUUGAUUUUCUUUUUUGUUGGUUGGAGCACAAGGUGACAGCUGGAGUGAUUCUGCAGAGCCUGACUGUGAAAGGAGCUCUGGAAAUAAAGAAACUGCUUGAGAUGAAUCACAGAAGCUACAGGAAAAAAAAACCUGCAUGUAGUUCUCUGUCAGCAGCAUCCCAUUCGUUAUCUUGCAAACGGUGUAUAAUUUUUGUUUAAUUCAGUGUAACUAUGAUGGUGUUAGUGAGGGGGGGUUAACAGUGAAAUUAUAAAAUAUAUUAUUUCUAUGGAAAUGUUUUUACACAAUAGUGGACAAUAAAACUGCAGGGAAAUGUACCAAUAUGAUAUUACAUACUUUAAAAGUUUAUCUAAAUGUAUUUAAAACAUACUGGUGAAAACGGCCUAUAAACAUAAUUGGCCACUGUUAUGAACAUUCUGAAAUAAAUAGAAUUACACACAA